UAGGAAGUAGUGUAGUGGAUGGCACGAAGGGUUUUGAUCUCUUAUGUGCAGGUUCAAGUCCUGUCUUUCUAG
This 72-nucleotide transfer RNA is filed under the name Grandisonia sechellensis. RNAcentral describes it as "tRNA-Gln". It matches the Rfam family "tRNA". Rfam says of the family: Transfer RNA (tRNA) molecules are approximately 80 nucleotides in length. Their secondary structure includes four short double-helical elements and three loops (D, anti-codon, and T loops). Further hydrogen bonds mediate the characteristic L-shaped molecular structure. tRNAs have two regions of fundamental functional importance: the anti-codon, which is responsible for specific mRNA codon recognition, and the 3' end, to which the tRNAs corresponding amino acid is attached (by aminoacyl-tRNA synthetases). tRNAs cope with the degeneracy of the genetic code in two manners: having more than one tRNA (with a specific anti-codon) for a particular amino acid; and 'wobble' base-pairing, i.e. permitting non-standard base-pairing at the 3rd anti-codon position. Lineage: Eukaryota; Metazoa; Chordata; Amphibia; Gymnophiona; Indotyphlidae. The record is from RNAcentral.